GGGGCGCCUGUGGGAGCCGUGGAGGGAACUUUCCCAGUCCCCGAGGCGGAUCCGGUGUUGCAUCCUUGGAGCGAGCUGAGAGCUCGAGAACCUGCUAAGGCCAUCAAACCUAUUGAUCGGAAGUCAGUCCAUCAGAUUUGCUCUGGGCCGGUGGUACCGAGUCUAAGCACUGCGGUGAAGGAGUUAGUAGAAAACAGUCUGGAUGCUGGUGCCACUAAUAUUGAUCUAAAGCUUAAGGACUAUGGAGUGGAUCUCAUUGAAGUUUCAGGCAAUGGAUGUGGGGUAGAAGAAGAAAACUUCGAAGGCUUAACUCUGAAACAUCACACAUCUAAGAUUCAAGAGUUUGCCGACCUACCUCAGGUUGAAACUUUUGGCUUUCGGGGGGAAGCUCUGAGCUCACUUUGUGCACUGAGUGAUGUCACCAUUUCUACCUGCCAUGUAUCGGCGAAGGUUGGGACUCGACUGGUGUUUGAUCACUAUGGGAAAAUCAUCCAGAAAACCCCCUACCCCCACCCCAGAGGGAUGACAGUCAGUGUGAAGCAGUUAUUUUCUACGCUACCUGUGCACCAUAAAGAAUUUCAAAGGAAUAUUAAGAAGUUUUAUGAAAACAAAACAACAGGCCUAAAUGUGUAUAGUAUAAAGACUGGAAGAGUCAGCACUUCCAUGUUCUCAGCGGUUAUCCUUGGAUGUGAGAUCUCAUGCACUUUUUGCUCUCUUCUUUGUGCCUUUCCAUUUUGCAUGCAUAUUUCUUAUAAUCUAAAAAGUUACUUAAACAUAUGCAGCUAAAAACUUUUUUUACUUGUAAAGCAUUCGGUGCUAAUUUUAACUUUUUUUUUUUAGACGGAGUCUUCUCACUCUGUCGCCCAGGCUGGAGUGCAGUGGUGUGAUCUUGGCUCACUGCAACCUCCGCCUCCUGGGUUCAAGUGAUUCUCCUACCUCAGCCUCCCGAGUAGCUGGGAUUAUAGGUGUGUGUCACCACACCCAGCUAAUUUUUGUAUUUUUAGUAGAGAUGGGGUUUCACCAUGUUGGCCAGGCUGGUCUUGCACCCCUGACCUCAAGUGAUCUGCCCACCUCAGCCUCCCAAAGUGCUGGGAUUACAGGCGUGAGCCACCACGCCCGGCUUUUUUUUUAAAGCUUUUUUGUAAGUCAGCCAGCAAGAACACAGGAGGAAGUACUCAAAUCUCCCUUACACAGCUCGGGGCUAUGUCAGGUUUUAUAAGCGUAGGGUAAUGAGGUGUGAUUUGAUUGGAUCUUGCAAUAAAGUAAUGCUGGGAGAUGUGA
This 1281-nucleotide long non-coding RNA is filed under the name Homo sapiens (human). RNAcentral's name for it is "novel transcript". Lineage: Eukaryota; Metazoa; Chordata; Mammalia; Primates; Hominidae. The record is from RNAcentral.